This is a long non-coding RNA of Centruroides sculpturatus (bark scorpion), 347 nucleotides long. RefSeq lists it as uncharacterized. The transcript is spliced from 2 exons. The record is from RefSeq and is a predicted model, not a curated record. Lineage: Eukaryota; Metazoa; Arthropoda; Arachnida; Scorpiones; Buthidae.
AGCUACAAAAAUGUUAACAGCAAAUAUGUUAAGUACUGAUCAACCAGGACAACAAAAUGUAAUAUAUGCAACUACACCAUAUUCUGGUCAAAUUGCCCAACAAAUCCAUUUCGGGUGAAGAAUUUCAUAAGCUGAAGUACAACCAACAAACAUAGCAUUAUAAAUGUCUAGUUUUUAUUCAUCAUUUUCUCAAAAUAUAGAAUCAUGUCAUUUGUGAAGUAUCAUAAGAACUCAUGUUGGUAACAUUGAUCAUUUCAUUGUUGAUGGUGUAAUUUUUACUCAUUCCAGUUUGGGUGAAAGUAAAUGGCUUUUUAAAAUUCUUGUAUUAUAUUUUUAUCAGUUAUAAU